RNAcentral lists this ribosomal RNA (1617 nucleotides) under Triticum aestivum (bread wheat). RNAcentral's name for it is "partial small subunit ribosomal RNA". Lineage: Eukaryota; Viridiplantae; Streptophyta; Magnoliopsida; Poales; Poaceae. The record is from RNAcentral.
AUGGCCGCCGCCCCCACGAAUCCCGCGCUGAAGCCCAUCUCCAUCGUGGCGAGCGGCGCCAAGGAGACCACCGAGGAGGUGUACCGGGCGAAGACGCAGCUGGAGUACAUCCUGCUGCGCCCGGACACCCACGUCGGAUCGGUCGCGAAGCACACGCAGAUGAUCUGUGUUUACGAGGAAGGUGGCAUGGUGGAACGGCGUGUCACCUACGUCCCCGCCCUCUAUAAGAUCUUCGACGAGAUCCUCGUCAACGCCGCCGACAACAAGCGGCGCGACCCCUCUAUGGACUCCCUCCGGGUCGACAUCGACGUCGAGGGCGGCUGUAUCUCUGUCUACAACAACGGAGAGGGCAUACCCGUUGAGAUCGACCAGGAGGAGGGCGUCUACCUGCCUGAGGUGUUCUUCGGCCAUCUCAUCUCUAGCAGGGACUACUAUGGCAACGAGCGGAAGACCACCGGCAGGCGGAAUGGCUACGGCGUGAAACUCACCAACAUCUUCUCGAGGGAGUACGUCAUCGAGAUCGCUGAUGGGCGCCGGCAGAAGAAGUACAAGCAGGUUUUCUAUGAAAACAUGGGGAAGAAGUCAGAGCCUGAGAUUAAAAAGUGCGAGCAGUCUGAGAACUGGACCAGAGUUACCUUCAAGCCUGAUCUUGCCAAGUUCAACAUGACCGAGCUCGACAAUGAUGUUGUGGCACUCAUGAGGAAGAGAGUAGUCGAUAUGGCGGGCACCCUUGGCAAAACCGUGAAGGUUGAGUUGAAUGGUCAGAAGGUAGCAGCAAAAAGCUUCUCCGACUACGUGCAACUCUAUACUUACCCUGCUUCCAAAGAAGGACCCGAUCUACCAAGAAUCUACCAGAAGGUAAAUGAUCACUGGGAGGUGUGUGUGAGUCUAAGUGAAGGCCAGUUUCAGCAGGUCAUUUUUGUAAAUGGAAUUGCGACCAUAAGAGGUGGAACUCAUGUUGACUAUGUUGCAGACCAAAUCGCCAACUAUUUGAGGGGCAUUGUAAACAGGAAAAACAAGCACGCUAACAUGAAUUUGGAUACUGCAAAUCGCUACCUAUGGGUAUUUGUUAAUGCUCUCAUUGAAGACCCUGCCUUUGAUUCACCGACCAAAGAGACCUUGAUCACUCGUCAGGGGAAGUUUGGGUCCAAGUGUGAGCUCUCCGAAGUUUUUCUUAAGAAGGUCGCUUGCUCUGGUGUUGUCACCAAUCUCUGUUUUUUGGCCGAGUCUAAACUAAGCAAGGACGACAAUCUGGAUUCUCUCCCACAUUCAUCUACUCCUAUGCAACAUGAUAGAGAAACCAAGAAACGUGACCAUGACGAUGUGUUCCUUGAGCGAUACCUAAAACUGAAGCUGGAAGAAAUUGAUCAGUUUGCUGCAAUUGAGGAGAGGAAGCUGGAGCAUCCAUGCAGCAUUACCAAGUGUAUCACAACAAUCGAAAAGUUACAAGGUCUGCAAGUAGGUGAUAUUUUAGUGGCAGCAGAUAUCUUCAAAAGUAAGAAGAAUAGGGAACUUUUCUUAUCCUUCUCUACAGAUGCUCUUCGGUUGGCUUGGGUUAAAAGGGAGAUUGUGCGCAGCCAAUUGCGGUCACGCAUUAGUGAAGCUUUUAUCCAGUAG